Molecule: ribosomal RNA, 702 nt
Filed under: Vibrio sp. MH157
Lineage: Bacteria; Pseudomonadati; Pseudomonadota; Gammaproteobacteria; Vibrionales; Vibrionaceae
Description: bacterial SSU rRNA
Rfam family: Bacterial small subunit ribosomal RNA
Source: RNAcentral
ACGCUGGCGGCAGGCCUAACACAUGCAAGUCGAGCGGAAACGACAACAUUGAAUCUUCGGAGGAUUUGUUGGGCGUCGAGCGGCGGACGGGUGAGUAAUGCCUAGGAAAUUGCCUUGAUGUGGGGGAUAACCAUUGGAAACGAUGGCUAAUACCGCAUAAUGCCUACGGGCCAAAGAGGGGGAUCUUCGGACCUCUCGCGUCAAGAUAUGCCUAGGUGGGAUUAGCUAGUUGGUGAGGUAAUGGCUCACCAAGGCGACGAUCCCUAGCUGGUCUGAGAGGAUGAUCAGCCACACUGGAACUGAGACACGGUCCAGACUCCUACGGGAGGCAGCAGUGGGGAAUAUUGCACAAUGGGCGAAAGCCUGAUGCAGCCAUGCCGCGUGUAUGAAGAAGGCCUUCGGGUUGUAAAGUACUUUCAGUUGUGAGGAAGGGGGUAACGUUAAUAGCGUUAUCUCUUGACGUUAGCAACAGAAGAAGCACCGGCUAACUCCGUGCCAGCAGCCGCGGUAAUACGGAGGGUGCGAGCGUUAAUCGGAAUUACUGGGCGUAAAGCGCAUGCAGGUGGUUCAUUAAGUCAGAUGUGAAAGCCCGGGGCUCAACCUCGGAACUGCAUUUGAAACUGGUGAACUACAGUGCUGUAGAGGGGGGUAGAAUUCCAGGUGUAGCGGUGAAAUGCGUAGAGAUCUGAAGGAAUACCAUGG